Molecule: transfer-messenger RNA, 348 nt
Filed under: Acutalibacteraceae
Lineage: Bacteria; Bacillati; Bacillota; Clostridia; Eubacteriales
Also listed under: 1 other name
Description: RUG11462 sp902781345 Standard tmRNA
Rfam family: transfer-messenger RNA
About the family: Bacterial tmRNA, also known as 10Sa RNA or SsrA, is named for its dual tRNA and mRNA-like properties. Its role is to liberate the mRNA from a stalled ribosome.
Source: RNAcentral
GGGGGCGUAAAGGUUUCGACGGGGGUUUUGAACUGAGUUAAGCGAGUAGCGGAGUUGCACCGCUUUAAAAGUAACACUUUAUAAAUUAAACAACACUAAUAAUGUUGCUUUAGCAGCGUAAUGCUGCUCGUUCCCUGUCAGGUACCGCUACUGACAAGCGGAGCGUCGACUUAGCGGUAAAUGUGAGCGAAAGAUAGUCUUGUAUUUCGCCAUAAACUUAAAGGACUACUCAAAUUAACAGAUUGUUGACUGUCGGUUUUUUGGGGAAUUUUUUAUAGUCAACUGCACUCGGAGAAAGAUUCAGGAACGAAUUUUCGGACAGGAGUUCGACUCUCCUCGCCUCCACCA